UGGCUGUCGUCAGCUCGUGUCGUGAGAUGUUGGGUUAAGUCCCGCAACGAGCGCAACCCUCGUCCUUAGUUGCUAACAGUUCGGCUGAGCACUCUAGGGAGACUGCCUUCGCAAGGAGGAGGAAGGUGAGGACGACGUCAAGUCAUCAUGGCCCUUACGGCCAGGGCUACACACGUGCUACAAUGGGGCGUACAGAGAGCUGCGAUACCGCGAGGUGGAGCCAAUCUCUUAAAGCGUCUCUCAGUUCGGAUUGUUCUCUGCAACUCGAGAACAUGAAGCUGGAAUCACUAGUAAUCGCAGAUCAGCUAUGCUGCGGUGAAUACGUUCCCGGGUCUU
This 336-nucleotide ribosomal RNA is filed under the name uncultured Sulfuricurvum sp. RNAcentral's name for it is "bacterial SSU rRNA". It matches the Rfam family "Bacterial small subunit ribosomal RNA", at positions 1046 to 1382 of the family's 1533-position model. The record is from RNAcentral. Lineage: Bacteria; Pseudomonadati; Campylobacterota; Epsilonproteobacteria; Campylobacterales; Sulfurimonadaceae.